GUCCAGCGAGAGGCGGGCCGAACCGCCGGUCGGAGGAGUUUGGUUCCCUGGCGCGAGGAGCCUUAAUGACGGAGUCAGGUUCCACCCGGGCUCCCCUGGGCAGCUUUCCUGUCCGUCUUCAAAGCUGUCUUUGCUCCUGGCUGUGUCGCCUACUCUUAGGACCACCGCCCCCCGCCCGUGUCAGAAGGCACAGCUCCUUGGCCUAAGAUUUGCAAAAGGAUGCCCAAGGUAGGAGCAGACAUCCCUGCCCAGUACUAGCGGGUUAUGAGCGGCACCUACUUCUUGCUUUCCAUAAUUUGGAAAGCUCUGCGUGACUCAAAUGGGCAUGUACAAAGAUGGAAUGUGCAAGUAUAGCCCCUCCCUUGAUGGCUGCCACGGAAACCUAGACCCUGGUCUGUGACGUGGCAGUGCUCUGCUGAGUUACAUGCAGCUGAGGUCAGUGUGACUCCAAUUUAAAUCCUUUCCCCUGAAUUAUGGCUUUCCGCUGACCUGAUGGGUUCCUUGCUAAUUGUUCCUGAUCCCAGUACUUGUUUGUUCUAUCCAAGCAGGAUAAGCAGUGCUUACGCCCUUAUAGUCCCGCCUGGUGACAUCAUGCCAAGUGUUCAGCGGUUUUUCACUGGAUGUCUUCAAAGCAUAUCCAACUCCUUAUUCCUUCCCCCAAUUGUAUUCAAUAAAUACUGGACGUACUUGGGGGCCUUUGCUGCCAUCAGCAGCACUGAUCAUGCCUCAAGACUCAGCUUCCCCAUUCUAAGUCUUGUUUCCUGUCUACUUUUUUAUGUAUUCUUUCAAAGAACC
Long non-coding RNA from Fukomys damarensis (Damara mole-rat), 795 nucleotides. RefSeq lists it as uncharacterized. The transcript is spliced from 3 exons. NCBI's taxonomy places the organism in Eukaryota, Metazoa, Chordata, Mammalia, Rodentia, Bathyergidae. The record is from RefSeq and is a predicted model, not a curated record.